ACCCAAGUCACCUGUUGAACACUUUGCUGC
RNAcentral lists this non-coding RNA (30 nucleotides) under Homo sapiens (human). Lineage: Eukaryota; Metazoa; Chordata; Mammalia; Primates; Hominidae. The record is from RNAcentral.